Molecule: ribosomal RNA, 717 nt
Filed under: uncultured fungus
Lineage: Eukaryota; Fungi
Description: SSU rRNA
Rfam family: Eukaryotic small subunit ribosomal RNA
Source: RNAcentral
CGUGUGGUUCUAUUUUGUUGGUUAUGGGACCGCCGUAAUGAUUAAUAGGGACAGUCGGGGGCAUCAGUAUUCAAUUGUCAGAGGUGAAAUUCUUGGAUUUAUUGAAGACUAACUACUGCGAAAGCAUUUGCCAAGGAUGUUUUCAUUAAUCAGGAACGAAAGUUAGGGGAUCGAAGACGAUCAGAUACCGUCGUAGUCUUAACCAUAAACUAUGCCGACUAGGGAUUGGGCGAUGUUACUUUUUGACUCGCUCGGCACCUUACGAGAAAUCAAAGUUUGUGGGUUCCUGGGGGAGUAUGGUGGCAACGCUGAAACUUAAAGAAAUUGACGGAAGGGCACCACCAGGGGUGGAGCCUGCGGCUCAAUUUGACUCAACACGAGGAAACUCACCAGGUCCAGACACAAUGAGGAUUGACAGAUUGAGAGCUCUUUCUUGAUUUUGUGGGUGGUGGUGCAUGGCCGUUCUUAGUUGGUGGAGUGAUUUGUCUGCUUAAUUGCGAUAACGAACGAGACCUUAACCUGCUAAAUAGCCCGUGUUGCUUCUGCAGCACGCCGGCUUCUUAGAGGGACUAUCGGCUCAAGCCGAUGGAAGUUCGAGGCAAUAACAGGUCUGUGAUGCCCUUAGAUGUUCUGGGCCGCACGCGCGCGACACUGACAGGGCCAGCGAGUUCUCCCUUGUCCGAAAGGACCGGGUAAUCUCGUUAAACCCUGUCGUGC